CUCGUAGGCGGCCCUCUCAGUCGGACGUGAAAUCCCUCGGCUUAACCGGGGAACUGCGUCCGAUACUGGAGGGCUCGAGUGUGGGAGAGGGAUGCGGAAUUCCAGGUGUAGCGGUGAAAUGCGUAGAUAUCUGGAGGAACACCGGUGGCGAAGGCGGCAUCCUGGACUACUACUGACGCUGAGGAGCGAAAGCCAGGGGAGCAAACG
RNAcentral lists this ribosomal RNA (207 nucleotides) under uncultured bacterium. RNAcentral's name for it is "partial 16S ribosomal RNA". It matches the Rfam family "Bacterial small subunit ribosomal RNA", at positions 568 to 774 of the family's 1533-position model. The record is from RNAcentral.